Molecule: ribosomal RNA, 257 nt
Filed under: uncultured bacterium
Lineage: Bacteria
Description: partial 16S ribosomal RNA
Rfam family: Bacterial small subunit ribosomal RNA
Source: RNAcentral
UACAGAGACCUCAAGCGUUAUCCGGAAUCAUUGGGCGUAAAGCGUACCGAUAGGUUGUUUUACAAGUCAGGUGUGAAAUCUCAAGGCUCAACUUUGAGACUGUCUCUUGAAACUGUAAAACUAGAGGGGUAAAGAGGAAGCUGGAACGAACGGUGUAGUAGUGAAAUGCGUUGAUAUCGUUCGGAACACCAAUAGCGAAGGCAGGCUUCUGGGUACCACCUGACACUGCUAGGACGAAAGCGUGGGGAGCGAAUGGG